RNAcentral lists this ribosomal RNA (484 nucleotides) under uncultured bacterium. Its description in RNAcentral is "partial 16S ribosomal RNA". It matches the Rfam family "Bacterial small subunit ribosomal RNA", at positions 30 to 507 of the family's 1533-position model. The record is from RNAcentral.
AUUGAACGCUGGCGGCAGGCCUAACACAUGCAAGUCGAGCGGAUGCAGGGAGCUUGCUCCUGGCUUCAGCGGCGGACGGGUGAGUAAUGCCUAGGAAUCUGCCUGGUAGUGGGGGAUAACGUCCGGAAACGGGCGCUAAUACCGCAUACGUCCUGAGGGAGAAAGGGGGGGAUCUUCGGACCUCACGCUAUCAGAUGAGCCUAGGUCGGAUUAGCUAGUUGGUGGGGUAAAGGCCUACCAAGGCGACGAUCCGUAACUGGUCUGAGAGGAUGAUCAGUCACACUGGAACUGAGACACGGUCCAGACUCCUACGGGAGGCAGCAGUGGGGAAUAUUGGACAAUGGGCGAAAGCCUGAUCCAGCCAUGCCGCGUGUGUGAAGAAGGUCUUCGGAUUGUAAAGCACUUUAAGUUGGGAGGAAGGGCAGUAAGUUAAUACCUUGCUGUUUUGACGGUACCAACAGAAUAAGCACCGGCUAACUUCGUG